This 489-nucleotide ribosomal RNA is filed under the name uncultured bacterium. RNAcentral describes it as "partial 16S ribosomal RNA". It matches the Rfam family "Bacterial small subunit ribosomal RNA", at positions 30 to 507 of the family's 1533-position model. The record is from RNAcentral.
UUGCACGCUGGCGGCAGGCCUAACACAUGCAAGUCGAACGGUAACAGGAAGAAGCUUGCUUCUUUGCUGACGAGUGGCGGACGGGUGAGUAAUGUCUGGGAAACUGCCUGAUGGAGGGGGAUAACUACUGGAAACGGUAGCUAAUACCGCAUAACGUCGCAAGACCAAAGAGGGGGACCUUCGGGGCUCUUGCCAUCGGAUGUGCCCAGAUGGGAUUAGCUAGUAGGUGGGGUAACGGCUCACCUAGGCGACGAUCCCUAGCUGGUCUGAGAGGAUGACCAGCCACACUGGAACUGAGACACGGUCCAGACUCCUACGGGAGGCAGCAGUGGGGAAUAUUGCACAAUGGACGCAAGCCUGAUGCAGCCAUGCCGCGUGUAUGAAGAAGGCCUUCGGGUUGUAAAGUACUUUCAGCGGGGAGGAAGGGAGUAAAGUUAAUACCUUUGCUCAUUGACGUUACCCGCAGAAGAAGCACCGGCUAACUCCGUG